CUUUUUGAAAAUAUUUAAAGUCGUGCCUGCCCACUGAUGAUUUUAAAGGGCCGCGGUAUUUUGACCGUGCAAAGGUAGCAUAAUCAUUAGUCUUUUAAUUGAAGACUGGAAUGAAUGGUUUGACGAAAUGACUACUGUCUCGGAAUUAAUUGUUGAAUUUUACUUUUGAGUGAGAAGGCUCAAAUUGAAUUGAGGGACGAGAAGACCCUAUAGAUCUUUAUAUUAAUUUAAAUAAUUUAUUUUGGUGGUUUUAUAUUUUAUUUUUUAUUAAUAUUGUAUUGGGGUGAUAUGAGAAUAUGAAUAACUUCUCUUAUAUACAACAUGGGUUUGUGAUUUAAGUAUCCUUUUUUAGGGAAUAAAGAUUAAGAUACCUUAGGGAUAACAGCGUUAUUCUAUUAGAGAGUUCAAAUCGAUAAUAGGGAUUGCGACCUCGAUGUUGGAUUAAGAUUAUAUAUUGGUGUAGGUGCUGAUUGUGUUAGUCUGUUC
RNAcentral lists this ribosomal RNA (486 nucleotides) under Landreva sp. n. India. RNAcentral's name for it is "partial 16S ribosomal RNA". It matches the Rfam family "Bacterial large subunit ribosomal RNA", at positions 1826 to 2582 of the family's 2925-position model. Lineage: Eukaryota; Metazoa; Arthropoda; Insecta; Orthoptera; Gryllidae. The record is from RNAcentral.